GCAGCAGCAACAUUUGGGGGAUAUUGGACUGUGACAAACCCCAUCCGCUGUGCUCUCCAGCAUCAGCAAAGCAACUUGUAUCUACAUAUUUCAAAACGAAGAAGUGCUGAUUACCAUAGACACUCCUGACAUACAGAUAAGAGAAGAUUCUGCUGUCC
Long non-coding RNA from Ficedula albicollis (Collared flycatcher), 158 nucleotides. RefSeq lists it as uncharacterized. The record is from RefSeq and is a predicted model, not a curated record. The transcript is spliced from 3 exons. Lineage: Eukaryota; Metazoa; Chordata; Aves; Passeriformes; Muscicapidae.